This 439-nucleotide ribosomal RNA is filed under the name uncultured bacterium. RNAcentral describes it as "partial 16S ribosomal RNA". It matches the Rfam family "Bacterial small subunit ribosomal RNA", at positions 338 to 795 of the family's 1533-position model. The record is from RNAcentral.
CCUACGGGAGGCUGCAGUGGGGAAUAUUGCACAAUGGGGGGAACCCUGAUGCAGCAAUGCCGCGUGGGUGAAGAAGCACUCCGGUGCGUAAAGCCCUGUCAGCAGGGAAGAAAAUGACAGUACCUGGACAAGAAGCCCCGGCUAACUACGUGCCAGCAGCCGCGGUAAUACGGAGGAUUCAAGCGUUAUCCGGAUUUAUUGGGUUUAAAGGGUGCGUAGGCGGUUCGAUAAGUUAGAGGUGAAAUCCCGGGGCUCAACUCCGGCACUGCCUCUGAUACUGUCGGGCUAGAGUUUAGUUGCGGUAGGCGGAAUUCGUGGUGUAGCGGUGAAAUGCUAGAUAUCACGAAGAACUCCGAUUGCGAAGGCAGCUUACUAAACUGCCACUGACAUUGAUGCUCGAAAGUGUGGGUAUCAAACAGGAUUAGAUACCCUGGUAGUC